UGCAACUGGUUGGUGGUUAUACAUUUAAUCAAACCGCUGUCUUUGAAAUUGCAUGAUGAAAGAGAGGCUUUGCGAUAUCACCUAUGACAUCGAGAUGGGACAAUAAACGGGCGAUAUGAAUAUAUGACCGGAAUUGUACGAGCAUAUCGUGCGUGUGUGGAUAAAUUUGCGAAAUUUAAAAUUCAUUUUGAAGAUCCGCUACAACGAAAAUAGGUGGUCUUUAUCGGCGGCGAAAUUUUGGCUGAGGGGGCAAAAGGUCGUGAUGGCUUAUGGAUGUGUGAAGGAAACAAGAAAAUUAAGAAAACUAUUACAAAAUUUACAAAGACCAAACAGUAGCAGCAAUUAUCAAAAGCUAUAGAAAGAAAUUUAAUGUUGUUUUAAAGUUAUACUUAUAGCUGCGUUUUUUGUUCUGUUUAUAUAACUCGUAAUAAUAUGUAUAUUUACAGUAAAAAUUACAAGACAAUUAUCUAUUAAUAACUUUGAAAAUCUAUAUUGACAACCCGUAUUUAUAAAAUUGAUUAUUCCUUACCAUGUAGGGGAAGGUGGGGAAUGGGCCAAUGGGGAAUCCCGGGCCAGCGCGAUAUUUGUUUCCCUAGUAUAGGUUGACAGCUGCAACCAACUGUCAUCGGCUCGUCUCAUACUAAGCUCAGUUUCUAUCGUGGUAUAGAGGAGUAGAGAAAGUCCCAUUCACAAUAGAAAAAAGAGCCAUUCACAGUCCUUAACCUACCCCUCAAGUGUACGCUCACAAUAAAACAUCAUGGCCACCUCUGGUGAAUAAGGGUGGCGAGAGGUCAAAACGGGUUGCAGAAAGCGA
Long non-coding RNA from Bactrocera tryoni, 814 nucleotides. RefSeq lists it as uncharacterized. The record is from RefSeq and is a predicted model, not a curated record. The transcript has 3 exons. Lineage: Eukaryota; Metazoa; Arthropoda; Insecta; Diptera; Tephritidae.